This 814-nucleotide ribosomal RNA is filed under the name Flavobacterium sp. 1AGV. Its description in RNAcentral is "bacterial SSU rRNA". It matches the Rfam family "Bacterial small subunit ribosomal RNA", at positions 57 to 878 of the family's 1533-position model. Lineage: Bacteria; Pseudomonadati; Bacteroidota; Flavobacteriia; Flavobacteriales; Flavobacteriaceae. The record is from RNAcentral.
GCAGUCGAGGGGUAUAGUUCUUCGGAAUUAGAGACCGGCGCACGGGUGCGUAACGCGUAUGCAAUCUACCUUUUACAGAGGGAUAGCCCAGAGAAAUUUGGAUUAAUACCUCAUAGUAUAGCAGUUUCGCAUGAAACCACUAUUAAAGUCACAACGGUAAAAGAUGAGCAUGCGUCCCAUUAGCUAGUUGGUAAGGUAACGGCUUACCAAGGCUACGAUGGGUAGGGGUCCUGAGAGGGAGAUCCCCCACACUGGUACUGAGACACGGACCAGACUCCUACGGGAGGCAGCAGUGAGGAAUAUUGGACAAUGGGCGCAAGCCUGAUCCAGCCAUGCCGCGUGCAGGAUGACGGUCCUAUGGAUUGUAAACUGCUUUUAUACAGGAAGAAACCCUGGUUCGUGAACCAGCUUGACGGUACUGUAAGAAUAAGGAUCGGCUAACUCCGUGCCAGCAGCCGCGGUAAUACGGAGGAUCCAAGCGUUAUCCGGAAUCAUUGGGUUUAAAGGGUCCGUAGGCGGUUUAAUAAGUCAGUGGUGAAAGCCCAUCGCUCAACGGUGGAACGGCCAUUGAUACUGUUAAACUUGAAUUAUUAGGAAGUAACUAGAAUAUGUAGUGUAGCGGUGAAAUGCUUAGAGAUUACAUGGAAUACCAAUUGCGAAGGCAGGUUACUACUAAUGGAUUGACGCUGAUGGACGAAAGCGUGGGUAGCGAACAGGAUUAGAUACCCUGGUAGUCCACGCCGUAAACGAUGGAUACUAGCUGUUGGGAGCAAUCUCAGUGGCUAAGCGAAAGUGAUAAGUAUCCCACCUGGGG